Molecule: unclassified non-coding RNA, 320 nt
Filed under: uncultured fungus
Lineage: Eukaryota; Fungi
Also listed under: 1 other name
Description: partial contains 5.8S ribosomal RNA, internal transcribed spacer 2, and large subunit ribosomal RNA
Rfam family: 5.8S ribosomal RNA (bases 1-52)
Source: RNAcentral
AACGCACCUUGCGCCCAUUGGUAUUCCGAUGGGCAUGCCUGUUUGAGUGUCUUGAAAUCAUCAAGCCCGUUCGGUUUCACCGCCGAGCGGGAUUGGACUUGGGGGCUUGCCGCUUCGCCGCGGCUCCCCUUAAAUGCAUCGGUUUCGGGUCUCUGUGGGAGUAACCCCUUGGGCGUUGUAUAACCCUCGCCGUCUGGGAACUCCUCGCGACGUCCGCGUCGUCGAAGGGCCUUGAAGGAACCUCGACCUGCUGUAGAGCGGCGGUCAACGUUAAUUUGAAAUCUGACCUCAAAUCAGGUAGGACUACCCGCUGAACUUAA